Molecule: long non-coding RNA, 757 nt
Filed under: Calidris pygmaea (Spoon-billed sandpiper)
Lineage: Eukaryota; Metazoa; Chordata; Aves; Charadriiformes; Scolopacidae
Description: lncRNA (ENSCPGG00000015328.1)
Source: RNAcentral
AAUGCCUCAAAAUUAGCUGUUACGCAUCAAAAAAAAACCCCAAAACCAAGACAAAGAAUGGAGUAGGCUACCACAAACAUUAACUAAAAGUGUGUAUAACAAGAAAUCUAAAAUAAAUUUAGACCUUUUGGACACGCUAAUGAAGGGCCAAAGAUUACCUUAUCGAAAGACUGAUCUCAGUCAUUGUUUCAAGAUUGUUUUCAUAUUCGAUCUUAGCUACCCAGGGACCAGGUCUGGAAUUCACAUUUCAACCACCCAUGGAAACCAGAGGGAGUGUGAUGGCUUUUGAUGAAAAGCAGCACACUUCUUCAAGCGCUGAAACACCUGGCAUCCAAGAAAUGCCAUCAGCUGUACCUGCUUUCCCAAGACCAGCCCUGAAGCCCUCAUCUGUUCCUUCUCUGGAAAUCACGAGGACAGUGAUGGUUACUCAGAGACCAAAGCUGAAAUCUACUUCUCCUUACCUUGCAAGCCAAAGAACAGUGGAGGCAAGCCAGAGACCAGACCUGGAAUCCACCUCGUCUGCUUCACCGGAAACCACAAGGACUGUGAUGGGUAAAUAGCCAGCAAUUCCCUUCACGUGUUGAUUACUUUGGCAGUGCUUUCCUCUGCAGCGAUGAGCCUGUUCAGGUGUUUUGAUGUCCUGAAAAGUGGGUCCACAAUGCAAUGGGUCCCCUGUUGCUCCGUACUAGGACCUGCUCCAUUUGUAAGCUUUCUCCUGCCUUUUUGGGGGUUCUAGAUUUACUCUGUUACCUCGGGC